Molecule: ribosomal RNA, 253 nt
Filed under: uncultured bacterium
Lineage: Bacteria
Description: partial 16S ribosomal RNA
Rfam family: Bacterial small subunit ribosomal RNA
Source: RNAcentral
UACGUAGGGGGCGAGCGUUGUCCGGAAUUAUUGGGCGUAAAGGGCUCGUAGGCGGUUUGUCGCGUCGGGAGUGAAAACCCAGGGCUUAACUCUGGGCUGGCGUUCGAUACGGGCAGACUAGAGGCAUGCAGGGGAGAGCGGAAUUCCUGGUGUAGCGGUGAAAUGCGCAGAUAUCAGGAGGAACACCAAUGGCGAAGGCAGCUCGCUGGGACGUUACUGACGCUGAGACGCGAAAGCGUGGGGAGCAAACAGG